GAUGAACGCUAGCGGCAGGCUUAAUACAUGCAAGUCGAGGGGCAGCGCGGGUAGCAAUACCUGGCGGCGACCGGCAAACGGGUGCGGAACACGUACGCAACCUUCCUCCGAGCGGGGCAUAGCCCAGAGAAAUUUGGAUUAAUACCCCAUAUCAUAGUUAAGAAGCAUUUCUUGAUUAUUAAAGAUUUAUCACUUGGAGAUGGGCGUGCGGCUGAUUAGGUAGUUGGCGGGGAACGGCCCACCAAGCCUACGAUCAGUAGCUGAUGUGAGAGCAUGAUCAGCCACACGGGCACUGAGACACGGGCCCGACUCCUACGGGAGGCAGCAGUAAGG
RNAcentral lists this ribosomal RNA (333 nucleotides) under uncultured bacterium. RNAcentral's name for it is "bacterial SSU rRNA". It matches the Rfam family "Bacterial small subunit ribosomal RNA", at positions 28 to 359 of the family's 1533-position model. The record is from RNAcentral.